UUUCAGAAACAUAUACCAAUUAAGGCUAAGGUAUAAGACCCUAUACCACAAACUUAAAUAUGUCCUUAAAUAUGUAUAUCAGGACGUUGAAGAAAAAAGAUGAUGGUAUUUGCCCAUUGUGCUCAAGACUUGUCACAGUUAAUGAACAUUAAACGUUCACGUCCACCUGAUCAUAAUUUAAGUUACAACGUUUUAAAUUAAGUUUAACAACUAUUUAAGAGUAGGACAUAUUUCUUAGUGUAAAGUUUGACAUAAUAAAAACUUUGUGGACAGUUCGGUAUGUGGAGCAGAACAGAUGCCAUUAAGUGUUGGUAAACUACAAAACAAGCUUCAUUGAUUUGUAAAAAUGUUUUUUUUUCUUACCAUACAACGAAAAUUUUAUCCUAUCUUGAGCAUAGCUGAUAUUUUCUUUGCUAUCUUGGAAAUGACUUCAUCGAAAAAUGAACCAUAAGGUGACCUGUCGGUAGCCUAUUGAAUUCAGCAUGAUUGUAAAGCUUACAUACGAAGACUCACUGGAUUCCGGGAAAAGAUCAAUUAUCGUUUUUGCGUCAAAUAAAGUUGGUGCAUCUUAUAGUUUAAUUUUUUACUCGUCCAAAAACAUUGGGUGCGAACGCCCCCAACGCAACCCCCCCCCCCCCCCCUGGCUACGGGUAUGGCCUCACUCUUGUUUUGAUUGUAUUGCUCUAUUUGUUUAAUGAGUCAUCUCGCAUUUGUAUGUUAUGAUAAUUAUGGAUAAGAAAGAAAAUUCCUAUUUCCUAAUUUGCCAGCUCUAUUUCUCAACAUUUUAAAGUGAAACCAUCAGUUAGGAAUUAUAUGAAUGGGUUUGGGGAAAAUAUAUAUAUACAUUUUGCAAUGGGGAGUAUAACCUAAUUCUAUAAAAUUAGCCCCAAAACGCUGUGCAGAGUCAUAGCUGACACCAUCAAAGGGUUUAACCUAAAAUGCAAAUGAGAGCGUCUGUAUAGUAUAAUCCUUAGACAUUCUAGCUGAGGGUAAAAUUGUAAUAAAGUAACUUUUAAUUAGUGGUUACUUAAACAAAGGGGGUAAUCACGUGAUAGUAAAGGUGGCGACGUUCAUGCUGAGACAGUUAGUUUUCGCCGUUUUGUACCCUUUAGUACUUUUUGUUUAUUUUUUAAAUGACACUCACUUUCAAGCCAUAUCAGUAAAAAUGUGAUAAGCGUUUAUUGCGUAUUUAAAUUCGCUUAAUAUCUCAACUUUACUCCCCGCAAAUUUUCUUAGUGGAGCCCUAAUUAGGUCAUCGCACUAAACAAUUUCGCAGCGAGUAAAGGCGAGAUAUAGAGCGAAUAUAACUGUGAACUAAACUCCAGUAACUUUCUUGCUAAUAUGGCUGGAAAGUGAGUUGAUUAAAAAAACAAUACAACUAAUUAAGGGUAAAAAACGGCGAGAAAUAUAUGUCUCAUGGACGUCGCUAUCUUGAUAAGCACGUGAUUACCCCCUCUGUAAAACCUGCAAUAUCAGUAACGAAACUAGACAAUAUUAAAGAGAAGAAGCUUAGGGUUUUGAAAUCACCUAAUAACUGUUCUUUUGUACUAUGUCUACCACAUUCAAACGUUUGUCAAAAAAUUGCGAUAAGUGCCAUACGCAAAAUCGCUUGCGCUUUAAAACAAUCAUAUGGAAAUCAAUUUACUUGUGGCUACUUUAUUGGUUGAGUGUUGUUUGUAUCCGUGUAGUUACACGUCAUAUGGAGCUAACAUUCAGCACAUUUUAUUAUAGCUUGUGCUGCUGUAAAACAGUGCUGUAAUGUUUGUUAUUGUUGCCAUAUAUUUUAUUAAUUGUGCUACUUUAAAUAUGUUGAAUAGUAAGAUGCUACCAGUGCAACAUGGCCGGUCACUUUGCCAGGGACUGUAAGAUGGAGGGAGGAAAGAUGUUACAACUGUAACCAGAUAGGACACAUUGCCAAAGACUGUUAUAAGGAGAGGGAUAAAUACUGUCCUGAAAACGAGGACACGCGUAGCUGCUACAACUGCGGUGGGCGUGGUCACAUCUCGCAGAACUGUCAUAACAAGCGGUGUUCAAGCAAUGCGCGCAACCAGCACUGCUACAGGUGCGGGCAGCCGGACCACAUUGCGCGUUACUGCCAGACAAGUCGACGUGACUUUGAAUGUUACAACUGCAGAAAAACGGGCCAAUUUGCACGUGACUGUCCAAAGAUUCAGAGGGACAUGUCUGAGGUAGAGUGUUACAACUGCAAAUAGCUCGGUCACUUAGCACGUGACUGUCCUGAGAAUGAGGAGGACACGUCAGACGAAGCGUAUUACAACAGUAACAAGCUCGUUCAGUAUGCCGAUUGUCGUUACGAUAGGCAGGAAGAAAUGUCCAGAGUAGAGUGUUCUAAGUGUCACAAUUUCGGUCACUUUGACCACGACUGCACUGAGGAUAAUAGGAGUGUCCCAAUUUCGGUUACUUUGACCACGAGUGUCACAAUUUCGGUUAAUUGACCACGACGGCACUUGGGAUGAUGAGGAGUGUCACAAUUUCUUUGACAACGACUGAACUGAGGAUGAUGAGGAGGAAGUUUGCUCGCUGUAUACAUGGAAUCUUCUUUAUUUAAAGAAAAUGUGCAUUUGAUGUGCAAUAAUAAUUAGUUUUAACUGUCACGUUACAGAAAACCCUAAAGUCUAACUUCAAUAUAAAGAAGGCCUUAAAUAAAUCCACUAUUUACAAGCACCAUAUUACAAUUGCCAUCUUACUUUAAUACCUUCAUUGUUAUUGUCUGCGCCAUGUACGUUAAUAAAAAAUAAACUCUUAUUUAUAAGUAAUAUCCUUAUUUCUGCAUUCUUAUAAUACAUAAAACUUUGUACAAUUCCUUCAAUAGUGGUUGUCAUGACGUCUUUUUUACUUAGUUCUUUUGAGAUUCCGAUUUCGAAAAUCAAUGUCAUCAUUUCAAUAAAUAACUGACCGUACCGUUCAUUUGUGGAUUGUUUUGUCUCUUGAUCGGCUGAUCGGCAUUGCGUGUUUUCAAUCCUGUUUAUGAUCCUGUGAUAAAUUGUAUAAUGUCAUUGUUAAGUUUCUUCUAUGUAUGGCAUUACUCCUUAAAGACCUUUCUAUGUGAUACAUAUUUACCAAUUUUUGCAUUUUAAUAAAUACUCGCAUAUAAUUUUACACUUCGUAUCCGCAUCGUGAUCGUGUAUCAAAAUAUUGUGUCAAAUAUCAAUUCAAGCAUAGUGUAUCAAACAAAACUAUUCCCGCAUAAUUGCACUUAAUGUAUUCUUCACUGAACAUUUGACAAAGACAUAAACAAAGUGUGUUCUUCUAGACGAGAAGUCAAUGCAGUAAUUACAAAACAGAAUAUUUCUUAUCGUUUAAAACUAAAUUUAUGAGCUGCAUCAAUCAUGUUUAUGCCGCCGUAUCGAUAGAUUAGGGGUAUAUUGUUUUGGCCUGUCUUUCUUUCUUUCAUUCUGUCUGUCAUUAUGUCCCAAAACUUUACUGUACAGUAAAGUUUUGCAAUAACUUUUGAAAUAUUGAACAUAGCAACUUGAUAUUUGGCAUGCAUGUGUAUCUCAUGGUCCUGCACAUUUUGAGUGGUGAAAGGUCAAGGUCAAGGUCACCCUUCAAGGUCAAAGGUCAAAAAAUUAUGUCCCAAAACUUUACUGUACAGUAAAGUUUUGCAAUAACUUUUUAAAUAUUGAACAUAGCAAUUUCAUAUUUAGCGUGCAUGUGUAUCUCAUGGAGCUGCACAUUUUGAAUGGUGAAAGUUGAAGGUCAUCCUUCAAGGUCAAAGGUCAAAAAAGCGGCGCAUUAGGGGGCAUUGUGUUUCUGACAAACACAUCUUUUGUUUUUUCUAUUAUUUCUGCUGGGCUAAGUGUUAGGAAUGGAUCCAUUUCAUGACUAAAAAACCUUCAAUACGUUGAAUUAACCGUUCUAAGACUGUGACCUCAGCUUUAUGCAUGAUUUUGUGUUAAAUAUCGUAUAACAUAUUUAAUACUGUAUUUUUAAGGCACUUUGUCG
This is a long non-coding RNA of Dreissena polymorpha, 3966 nucleotides long. RefSeq lists it as uncharacterized. The record is from RefSeq and is a predicted model, not a curated record. The transcript has 3 exons. Lineage: Eukaryota; Metazoa; Mollusca; Bivalvia; Myida; Dreissenidae.